Molecule: ribosomal RNA, 301 nt
Filed under: uncultured bacterium
Lineage: Bacteria
Description: partial 16S ribosomal RNA
Rfam family: Bacterial small subunit ribosomal RNA
Source: RNAcentral
CAGCAGCCGCGGUAAUACGUAGGGUGCGAGCGUUAAUCGGAAUUACUGGGCGUAAAGCGUGCGCAGGCGGUUGUGUAAGACAGGUGUGAAAUCCCCGGGCUUAACCUGGGAACUGCGCUUGUGACUGCACAGCUAGAGUAUGGCAGAGGGGGGUGGAAUUCCACGUGUAGCAGUGAAAUGCGUAGAGAUGUGGAGGAACACCGAUGGCGAAGGCAGCCCCCUGGGCCAAUACUGACGCUCAUGCACGAAAGCGUGGGGAGCAAACAGGAUUAGAUACCCCUGUAGUCCCUGUCUCUUAUAA